Molecule: non-coding RNA, 27 nt
Filed under: Rattus norvegicus (Norway rat)
Lineage: Eukaryota; Metazoa; Chordata; Mammalia; Rodentia; Muridae
Source: RNAcentral
UGACGUUCAACAUGGGGCCUGAGAUGA